Molecule: long non-coding RNA, 7297 nt
Filed under: Daucus carota (carrot)
Lineage: Eukaryota; Viridiplantae; Streptophyta; Magnoliopsida; Apiales; Apiaceae
Description: long non-coding RNA (DCAR_LNC004441)
Source: RNAcentral
UACAUUUCCGCCAUAAUUCGGGUUCAUUCCUAUAUUCAAGCUCAUUCCAUAGCCUGAACCAAAAGGAGCAAACCCGGUCCUUCCAGCAGUGAUUGGACUAAACCUACCAUCCAUCCUGACACCCAACCCUCCUAAUGCAUUAGGUGAGUAUCCUUGAUUGUAGCCAUUUAGGACACUACUCAUCCUGCCCAAACCAUAGUUGAAACCACCAAGCGGACUUCGGUUAGGACUAGGUGUUAGCUCUUUUGGGACAGCACGCUUGACCUCUACCAUUUUACCAUUAAGCUCAUGAAAAGUUCUAAGCAGCACAUUGUCCACCGAAUCCUCGGAAUCGUAAGUUAUAAAACCAAAUCCUCUUGGUCUCUGAGUGUUGUGGUCAUACAUCACCACAACAUCUGUCACAUUUCCAAACUGCUCAAAGUAACUUCUAAAGUCACUUUCUGUGACGGUAGAAGCUAAACCUCCGACAAAUAUUUUUCUAGUGCGAACUGGACCUGGAGAGCCCUGAAUGCUACCACUGUUUCUACUAACUGCGCUGCUAUGAUCGUCCUUUGGAACAGCCUUUUUUGCUUCAACCUGUCAGCAAAAAUUCAACAAUGAAGACCAAGCACAGACUUAACCAAAUCAUGGAUUAUUGCUUCAAGAGACUUAAAACAAAUGGGCUUAAAACAGCUAUUCCCGGGUGCAGGAGUCUACAAAGACAGUUGGUGCAAGAUCAGACAAGUGAAAAGUGCAAUAACGCAGGAGCAAAAAUAUCUUCCCAAGAAGCAGACAACAAAAGAUCCCCGUGUUUAAUCUUUAUUUACACUUAAAUAGGUAAUUCGCAAUUCAGAUUUCAAACUCCUAUACAACAUCAUAAGAAGAAUAAAUAGCAUGUUUAAUCAAACUCCUGGAAAAGAUAAUCUUUAAGGCUUGAUAAUUAAACAUCUUUUUCCUAUUGUAGAGUAACAUUCUUUAACACAUUAUUUUUGUAACUAAGAUAAUCUAACAUAACCAUAAAUUACCAGCCUGCCAUCAAUAUUGUGCUUCUCCUUAAUAACCCUAUCAGCAACAGCAGGGUCCGCAAACACAAUAAAUCCAAAACCACGAGCUCGUCCAGUAGUCCGAUCUUUCAUAAUCACAGCUUCAAGGNCGCUCUUCAUCAGUGUCCCAUGAGAUUCCACCGAUAAAUAAUUUUCCGAGAUCAGACUGCAUAUUUCCUACACCAACAACAAAUAAUAAAUUCGAUCAAACCAAGCAACCCGAUCAAAUACAGACUGAACUUACAAGUCACUUGAACACAUUCAACCAAAUUUCCAACCUAAGAUGGAUCUAGUCAUCUAGUAGAUACCACAAAUUCCAAACCAGCCACGAACUCAUCAAAGUUCCGAUUUUUCAAUAGCCCAUUAAGUAAAAUGCAGAACAAAAGUAAUCAAGAAUCAACUUUUUACACUCAGUCUCAAAACCCACAAAAAAAACACAAAUCUUAUUAUGUACAACAACUCAGUUUUAUCAGAUUCAAGUAUAUAUCAUCGGAUCCAUUGCUGAUCAACCCAACAAAAAAUUUAGGCCUCCUACAGAAACAAUAAAAUUAAAUACAAUCAACAAACUUGACAAUCUAACAAAAUCCAUUUUGAUACAUAGUACAGAUGAUAAAUUUACAAGUAAAGAGUAAAUACACAAGUAUAGAUCUUGAUAAAUACCCACCUGAUUAAAACUAAAGGGCGAUGAAAAAAGAUGAAAACUACUAAGAUCUGCAAGGAGUUGUUGUAACAAGAAGCGAAAGCAUGUUCAUAGUCCUCUCUAUACGCCCCCUGUUUUUAUGUUUCAAUCUCCUUCAAAUAUAUAUUUUUUCUGUUAAUGCGGAAUUGGAAACACCAACACAGAUGAGAAGAUGGAUGUCAUAUCCUCACUAUAUAUAUGUCCUGACGAUUGGUAAGCGUGUGUGCGUAUAUCUUUAUACGAAAUGAGAUUUUUGUUGUGAUAAAUUAUAAAUGGGUUAAUUAUCUAUUUGGUCACUCAAGUGGGCUUAAUGUAUCAAAUUGGUCACUGAACUCAAAACGGUAUCAAGAUGGUCACUGAAGUGACCAUAAAUAUCAAAAAAGUACCUUGAAAUAUAAGUUGAAGCAGUAAAAGUAUUAUUUAUAAAGUUUUACACAUUAUUUUUGAAUAUUACCAAAACCAAGUAAAAGGUUAUGACUUCUAAUAUUUAUGAUAAUAUAUUUAGAUUUUAUCAAGUUUAUUUAUUAUUUAUUUUUAAUUAAAACAAAAAAAUAACUAUAAAAUAAAAUAUAAAUAAUAAAUAAACUUGAUAAAAUAUAAAUAUAUUAUUUUAAAUACUAGAAAUCAUAACUUUUUAGUUGGUUAUGCUAACAUUUAAAAAUAAUGUUUAAAACUUUAUAAAUAAUAUUUUUACUACUUGAACUCAUAUUUUAAGGUACUUUUUUGAUAUUUAUAGUGACUUUAGUGACCAUCUUGAUACCGUUUUGAGUUCAGUGACCAACUUGAUACAUUAAGCCCACUUCAGUGACCAACUUGAUAAUUAACCCAAUUAUAAAUAUCGAUAUUUUUAAAACUUUUAUUGAAAGGAGGAGUUGUAACAUUUAUUAAACAAAUUUGUGCAGUGUAGGAGGCUAGGAGCUAUUAAUCGAUAGGCAAUUGCUCAAAUAAAAAUCACUAAAAUAAAAACUAAAAGAGAUAUCAAGAAAAAUUAUACCCAAAUGACUUCACCCGCCCCCUAUAUGUCAUCAGCCACUCCCUAUAUGUCAUCACUCAUCUAAGGCCACCUUCACCCCACUCAAUUCACCCCGGGUCCGCUAAGGCUUCACCUCACAUGCCCUAAUCAGACUCCAGAUAGUCUUAAAAGAGCCAACCCUUGGCCCCACCAUGGUCUUAUUAGACCCCGACCCGGCCCUACUAUGCCCCAAUUAGAUCCCGUCUAGGACCAUCUCGGGGUCUAUCCUCAGUCCCAAAAUCCGCAUCAUUAUACUUAAUCGCAUUGGUUUCUAUUUAGUUUCCAUUCUAGUAGUUUCUAUUGGAGUAGGACCCUUAAUCAGUAUUUAAAUCUUUAUGAGAUGAUUUCACUAUUAUAAAAUUUAAUUAUUAAAUUGUAAUUAACUUUGUCAAGAAUCAGGUUUGAGGGGUCUUGUAUGACUCAUCCAUUUUUCUAUCAUUUUUGCAAGACUGAAUUGACUACUUUUGUCCAUGUGGUGCAAAAAAAUAAUUAUAUCUUUGGGCUGUGUUACUGUAUCAAACAUGUCAAUCUAUAUUGUGCAUUCAUCAAAAUGAUCUAUUAAAAUUACAGUUUCACUUGAUUAGUUUAUUAGAUUUUUAUUAUAAAGAUUUUGGUAAUAAAUGUGGUCGGUCUUUAAAAUUUUGUUUCAGAUUAUGUUCCUUACAGCUAACAUGAAAAAAAUUAAUGUUAUGUGUCGAAAUUCUGAUAGAAAGUUAAUUCUUAAUAAAUAUCCGUUCAUGAUAUUUUUACACUUACGUUAUCAAUUAUCAUUAAAAAUAAGUUCUUAUCUGUAUUUAAUUUCUUGAUUAGUUAUUUGGUAAAUUUAAAUAAAAAUUCUCAUCAUCAGGUCAUUCAAUCAUUUUAUGAUGUGUUUUUUAAUGAGAUUUUGCUAUUGACAAAAUGUAGUAUAAAGUAAGUAUAAACCAAUUUUAUGAAUUAUAAACUAUACCAAAAUCUUUCGUGUGAUAUAGUAGAAAAAAAUUGUAUCGAAAACCCACACAUAGCAAAGGGAAAAGUCAUGUCAUGAAGUCUUGUAUAAUAGAGUUCAAAAUGUAAUAGAAAGAAGUGGGUUGUUUUUGGACGGAUUUAUUUACUUUUUAUUUGGUAGAGUCAUAUUCGGUCAUUACUAAAAUAUUUAGUUAUUUUAACUUAUAUGCAUCUCUCGAGUCUAUUUAUUUUUUUAUGUGCUUAAAUGUUAUUAAAUAAAUUUCUAGAUUGUUGAAAAUUGGACUCGAAUUUCUUAUUAGCUUGAGUUAUCAUAUUAAGUGAACAGUUUUACUGAAAUCUCAAAAUAUCACGAGAAAUCCCGUAAAACUGAACUACGAUACCAUGUAAACCAACAAAUUCUCAAAUCUAAAGGUAUUAUAAGAAAUAUCAUGAAUCUUUGGCAUGGCUCGACGUGCACUUGUAUGAUUUGGAGGGACUUAAUUAUCUUAUAGUUUAGCAGAAGAUUUUGCGUAGACAGUUGUGUGUUGUACACUAAAAAUAUUAGAAAUCUUUCGAAUGAUCUCAACGCGCAUUUGUAUGGUUUGGAGAGCCUUAUUAUUUUAUAAUUUAGAGAAAAAUUGUGCAAAACGUUAAACGUAAUUAGGGUGAAAAUUUCAAGAUGUUACGAGGAAUAUUAAGAGGAAUAAGUUUGGAAGUAGUUAACAAAUGCACCUACGAGAAAUAUCUAAAUUUUUGGAUGACCAAUAUGAAUCGGUAAUGAGAAUAAAGAGCAUGAUAAUUAAAAUCGGUAAUGACAAUCAGACUACAGGGAGUAUAAGAAUGAAAGAUAUUGUAAAGAGUAUCGAUGUAUGGAUUGAAUGAUUUACCUAAGAGAAUGAUUGCAAUUAAUCCAAACACCAACACAUGCAUUUGAGAUUUUGAUUCCAUACUUAUUAACUAUUUGAGAUUCUGAUUCCGUACCAACCGCCUUCAAUUUUUUGUUUUACCGGUAGAAAGAAAUUCAUGACCAAGUAGCCAUAUUUUUUCCUUUUUAAAAACACUGUAAACUUUCAUCCAACUCAUUUAAAUAUUGCAAUCCAAUUUUAUAAAGAAAUCUGAAGUUCAAAAAACAGAAGUCGUUUAACUAAUGGACUUGCAAAUGACACUAAAGUAUUCUACUAAAGCCAUUUGGAGUUUCGACUGCCAUCCAAACAAUUCACUGCUCACAAAUUCAAUGAAGUAAUAGAUCACAAUCAACUACUUCCUCACAAAUUCAAACAAACGAUAGAUCAUAAACCAGAACGCGGUAAACUUAUUAAUUAGACCUUCGAUAGAUAUCCUCCAAAUGUUUCACAAUAAACUGUAAAAAAAAUCCUCAUCUUCAGAAGAAACAAACUAAAAAAAUGAACAGAACAAGAAAAUUAAGUUGUUCAGGACAACCAGGGUUUCUGCAGACAUAGCAGCAUGGCUAACCACAAAAGAAUCUUGAUGAUUAACCAAAACCAGAGGUCUACUCCCUGGUCUUUUUGUUUCCGAAGCAUCAUUGCCUUACCAGAAAUGCAUGAUACGCUCACUAUAUGCCGCAAACAGAUUAUACACCUCACUCAAAUUCCAAAUGGAACACCUAAAUAUAACUCAAAAUCAAAAUUCUCAAAACCAAAUCCUUUUAUAUCAUCUAUAUCUAAAACUUAAAUUCUUAGAAAACAGGCAGUCCGCCUAGCUAAAAGAUGAGAUGGUUUCUCUUUAACUUUCCCCCUGAAAAUAACAUUAACAAGGGAGGUACCCAAAAUUCACAAGUUUACUUGCUACAUCAGCUCCUUCAUCUACUAUUAAAUCAUCUUUGGUAUCCUCCUAUCCAGUAAUUCCUGCAGCAAGUUAAAAUCAUGGUCAAGGCCAUAAGAUGGUUGUAGUUGCUAACUAAUACACUGAAUGAAAAAGCAGAACAUGUUAUGUACAAAAAAUUAUGCUUAGAAUUAAAGUAGAAUAUAUCAUAGAACCAUGCACAAUUAGAGUUCACAAAUGGAUAUGUUCAACUUAUAAGUAAUGCCACUAUCAAGCAAAUUAUAUACGACCUCCGUCCAAUUUAGUAGUCACUUUGACUUUUUGCACGUAUUUUAAGGUGUAUAAAAAAUAUAGCUUAGUAAAGCACAGAACAAGCUCAGAUUAGUCAGUAGUCUAGAGCCCAACAGUAUCUGGCACUGGCAAUUGUAUAAAAUAGAUAUUGAAAUCUGGAUAAUGGUAACUGCAUACCACUUGCAUGAUGCACUGUAUUGCCUUCUACAUGUUAAUAUGACAGACUUUUCAACAGGACGUCAACGAGACAUCAGGUAACGCAAAAUGGGAAAUGUAUUUGCCACCAAGAAGUACACAUGCACAUACCCGGUAUUCUGAAAAGCAGGAAUUCUAAUAUCCCAACAUUAAAUUUCAUUCUCCUAGAGCAAGAAGUUGACUACGGUCUAUGGUCUGAGACUCUGAGUUAUAGAAGUAAAAACAACUUCAUGAAAACCAUGAAUUGCAGAGCUGCGGCAAACGUGUUCCUAGAGCUAGAAGUGUGCUAUAGUAUGAUUCUUACCUCCCCUUCCCCUAUGCUUAAAUGUUGAAAAAUAUUCACCUUUUAAACAACAAUUAUAAUAAUAAACUUUUAUACCUCUGUUAGUCUGUCUCCGGGUAACCCCGUAGCCUUCAACGUAACCUGGAGAACUAUUGAUCUGAGCAUCACUACCUCCAUCACCAAGCCCAUAACUAAAAGCUACAGAAUCCUCUUUCUCAGAAUUUGCUGCGUGCCACGUGCUGUCUCCAUAUACUGGGUGACUACCGUAGAUAUCUCCAAAAGUUGCAUCAUAACCACCAUUUGACGAGGAAUGUGAUGACAUGCGAGCACCAGUAGUAGCACUGUUUCUUCCAUAUGCUCCACCACCCAAAUUGUAACUGUUUUCAACUCCGUAUCCUAUAAUACCGCCUUGACUAGAUACAUUUCUUCCACCUUGAGCCUGAGGUGAAAUCGGAGAAUUAUCCCAGUUAAGUCCAUUAAAGCCAAAAUUUCUAGCUCCAAUACUACUGGUUCCAGAACCCACAUACCCACCUGUGUUUGUAGGAUUUGCUCCAUAAUCGAGCCCCCCAUUACCCCACAAGUUUCGAGUUUGGGAAUUAAAUAAAGAAGCAGUGUUUCCUAAAUUUCCACCAUCAAAACCCGUAGGAUUAUUUACUCUGUUUGAAUUGUAAAAAGGGCCCAUCCCCCUCCCAUAGCUAACCGAAUUGUUAAGAUUGACAUUUCCACCAUAAUUCGGGUUCAUGCCUAAAUUCAAGUUCAUUCCAUAGCCCGAACCAAAAGGAGCAAAUCCGGUCCUUCCAGCAGUGAUUGGACUAAACCUACCAUCCAUCCUGACACCCAACCCUCCUAAUGCAUUAGGUGAGUAUCCUUGAUUAUAGCCAUUUAGGACACUACUCAUCCUGCCCAAACCAUAGUUGAAACCACCAAGCGGACUUCGGUUAGGACUAGGUGUUAGCUCUUUUGGGACAGCACGCUUGACCUCUACCAUUUUACCAUUAAGCUCAUGAAAAGUUCUAAGCAGCACAUUGUCCACCGAAUCCUCGGAAUCGUAAGUGAUAAAACCAAAUCCUCUUGGUCUCUGAGUGUUGUGAUCGUACAUCACCACA